CAGCUCCAAUAGCGUAUAUUAAAGUUGUUGCAGUUAAAAAGCUCGUAGUUGGAUCUAGGGACGCGCAUUUCAAGCGCCCGUGUCGUUGGGUCAAACCAGCGACUGCGUUGGCGUUGCGGGCUCGGUCCGUCGGUGGCCACACAAAUGGCCACUGGCGUGUCAACCGGCCCGCCCGUCCCCUCCUUCUGGAUUCCCGUUCCUGCUAUUGAGUUAGUGGGGACGUCACAGGGGUGCAAACGGGCGGCGGUGGGUCCCUGGGGCCCAGAUCGUUUACCGUGAAAAAAUUAGAGUGUUCAAAGCAGGCAGAUCCAAUUUUCUGCCACCGAAUACAUUAGCAUGGGAUAAUGGAAUAGGACCCUGUCCUCCUAUUUUCAGUUGGUUUUGGCAGCGCGAGGACUAGGGUAAUGAUUAAUAGGGAUAGUUGGGGGCAUUAAUAUUUAAUUGUCAGAGGUGAAAUUCUUGGAUUUAUGAAAGAUUAACUU
RNAcentral lists this ribosomal RNA (482 nucleotides) under Acanthamoeba sp. RNAcentral describes it as "SSU rRNA". It matches the Rfam family "Eukaryotic small subunit ribosomal RNA", at positions 586 to 942 of the family's 1831-position model. Lineage: Eukaryota; Discosea; Longamoebia; Acanthamoebidae. The record is from RNAcentral.